GAUGAUGGUUGGUCUUCGAAGAUUAAAGGACCCGGUUCACUAUCCUGGCCAUGGAGUAGAAUGAAAAACAUCAAAAAAUCAACUGAAAUGUUGAAACAAA
Non-coding RNA from Cajanus cajan (pigeon pea), 100 nucleotides. The record is from RefSeq and is a predicted model, not a curated record. Lineage: Eukaryota; Viridiplantae; Streptophyta; Magnoliopsida; Fabales; Fabaceae.